AAUAGAUACCCCAGGUAGUCCACGCCGUAAACGAUGAGUGCUAGGUGUUGGGGGCAUCACGUCCUCAGUGCCGAAGGAAACCCAAUAAGCACUCCGCCUGGGGAGUACGGCCGCAAGGCUGAAACUCAAAGGGGAUUGACGGGGGCCCGCACAAGCGGUGGAGCAUGUGGUUUAAUUCGAAGCAACGCGAAGAACCUUACCAAGGCUUGACAUCCCAUUGACCGCGCUAGAGAUAGUGCUUCCCUUCGGGGUAAUGGUGACAGGUGGUGCAUGGUUGUCGUCAGCUCGUGUCGUGAGAUGUUGGGUUCAGUCCCGCAACGAGCGCAACCCUUAUCCUUAGUUGCCAGCAGGUAAAGCUGGGCUCUCUAAGGAGACAGCCGGUGAAAGCCGGAGGAAGGUGGGGAUGACGUCAAAUCAUCAUGCCCCUUACGUCUUGGGCUACACACGUGCUACAAUGGAUGGUACAAAGGGCAGCAAAACCGCGAGGUCGAGCAAAUCCCAUAAAGCCAUUCUCAGUUCGGA
This 522-nucleotide ribosomal RNA is filed under the name uncultured bacterium. RNAcentral describes it as "bacterial SSU rRNA". It matches the Rfam family "Bacterial small subunit ribosomal RNA", at positions 777 to 1297 of the family's 1533-position model. The record is from RNAcentral.